This 64-nucleotide transfer RNA is filed under the name Nitiditermes fulvus. Its description in RNAcentral is "Cubitermes fulvus tRNA-Asp". The record is from RNAcentral. Lineage: Eukaryota; Metazoa; Arthropoda; Insecta; Blattodea; Termitidae.
AAAGGAUUAGUUAAUCGUAUAACAUCAGAAUGUCAAACUGAAAUAAUCAGAAAGAUAUCCUUUU